AUUGGUUUCUAGAUCUCAGCA
RNAcentral lists this microRNA (21 nucleotides) under Acyrthosiphon pisum (pea aphid). RNAcentral describes it as "api-miR-3036". Lineage: Eukaryota; Metazoa; Arthropoda; Insecta; Hemiptera; Aphididae. The record is from miRBase by way of RNAcentral.